Molecule: long non-coding RNA, 562 nt
Organism: Vanessa atalanta (red admiral)
Lineage: Eukaryota; Metazoa; Arthropoda; Insecta; Lepidoptera; Nymphalidae
Exons: 3
Source: RefSeq, a predicted model, not a curated record
ACAAUAGGUAAUAUGUACAAGUGCUUUGUUUUUGUGAAGUGAUAAAGUUUAUGAGUCUAAGUAAAUACGGCGGUGUUGCGAUCGCCUAAGCCCUAUACUUAACAGACACAAGUACUAAUUGGUACUGGUAAAAUAUUGUAUCAGAUCAAGGUUACGGGAAUAGAGGAUCCAACACCUUUACAAUAAAUGAAACACAGGACCUAGCAUACGAGACGGUUAUCCUCAACAAACGAUGUCGACAACGAGAAAGCAAUUUGAUAACGCAGCAGGAAACUAUUUAAGGCAUAACCGGCGACACUUCCAAGGAGAUUCUGGAUUACACCUAUAAAUUACGACCCGUUUUAGAGAAUAACAGACCAGCCUUAGAAUUCAGAAUCCCACGAAGACCAGCAACAGUCAACAAAGUUGUAAGCAAAGAUAAAGAUGUGUCAAUAAAAUUAGACGAAAGACGAUUCGCGCGGUUUCGCCUGAUUAAGCGUUCCUGCUCCUUCCCCGUGAGUCUCAGGAGAUGAUAUAGCCUAUAAACAUCUUCAACGAUUAGGCUAUCAAUGAUCAGCGUCAC